This 369-nucleotide ribosomal RNA is filed under the name uncultured soil bacterium. RNAcentral describes it as "bacterial SSU rRNA". It matches the Rfam family "Bacterial small subunit ribosomal RNA", at positions 26 to 391 of the family's 1533-position model. The record is from RNAcentral.
AGAUUGAACGCUGGCGGCAUGCCUUACACAUGCAAGUCGAACGGCAGCACGGGAGCAAUCCUGGUGGCGAGUGGCGAACGGGUGAGUAAUACAUCGGAACGUGCCUAGUAGUGGGGGAUAGCCCGGCGAAAGCCGGAUUAAUACCGCAUACGACCUACGGGUGAAAGCGGGGAUCGCAAGACCUCGCGCUAUGGAGCGGCUGAUGUCAGAUUAGGUAGUUGGUAAGGGUAAAAGCCUACCAAGCCGACGAUCUGUAGCUGGUCUGAGAGGACGACCAGCCACACGUGGGACUGACGACACGGACCCAGACUCCGUACGGGAGGCAGCAGUGGGAAUUUUGGACAAGUGGGCGCGAAGACCUGACUCCAG